This 480-nucleotide ribosomal RNA is filed under the name uncultured Streptomyces sp. Its description in RNAcentral is "partial 16S ribosomal RNA". The record is from RNAcentral. Lineage: Bacteria; Bacillati; Actinomycetota; Actinomycetes; Kitasatosporales; Streptomycetaceae.
CACGUAGUUAGCCGGCGCUUCUUCUGCAGGUACCGUCACUUUCGCUUCUUCCCUGCUGAAAGAGGCUUACAACCCGAAGGCCGUCAUCCCUCACGCGGCGUCGCUGCAUCAGGCUUUCGCCCAUUGUGCAAUAUUCCCCACUGCUGCCUCCCGUAGGAGUCUGGGCCGUGUCUCAGUCCCAGUGUGGCCGGUCGCCCUCUCAGGCCGGCUACCCGUCGUCGCCUUGGUGAGCCAUUACCUCACCAACUAGCUGAUAGGCCGCGGGCUCAUCCUGCACCGCCGGAGCUUUCGAUCAUCCAAGAUGCCUAAGAUGAUCAGUAUCCGGUAUUAGACCCCGUUUCAGGGCUUGUCCCAGAGUGCAGGGCAGAUUGCCCACGUGUUACUCACCCGUUCGCCACUAAUCCCCACGAGUGGUUCAUCGUUCGACUUGCAUGUGUUAAGCACGCCGCCAGCGUUCGUCCUGAGCCAGGAUCAAACUCU